GACCAAACUUUAAUAUUUCAAGGGCACCCCAAAUGAGUUACUGGUGGGGUUACAUAACCUUUCAUUCAUGCCACCAAACCAAGAUUCAUGAAUUCUGAAAGUUAAAGUUGAUUACCUCUUUGGAUACAUAAAAAAUAUAUAUAUUAAAGCAUGUCACACAGUGCAAAAAAAAAAAAAAAAAGAGGCAUCCAGCAGAUGAAAAAUAGGCUCUUGGAAAAGCCCAAAGCAGCAGGCUGAUUGUCCUAACAAGAGGACAGAGAAACUCUUUCUGUAGGAAAUAAAGCUGCCUCAGCCAAAGAGAGAUCCAGACAUGGGUUUUGAUGGAUUCUUAUUACAACCAAAGACAAGCUCAAAGAAAGUGGAAGUUCAGAUUUCCCAUGGGUGCAGUUGGAUCUUGCAUCCAAGAGAAUGCUUGGUUGACUUCUCAUAUGCAGGCUGAGCAAGAAGCAAGCAGCAAGACUUAGCCAGUGAUAAGAUCAGGAUAAGACCCUAACUCCCACAAAUGACUCCAGGAAAGGGAGACCACCACUCCCCGAGCUUUGGAGCGCCGCGCGGGAACCCCAGCUGGCAUAUCCGAAUGGGCUGAGCUACCGGAUUAAGAGGGACACCCCAAAGCCCCCAUUGCUGGGUUAUUGCUCCAGAGCCAAUGUUCUUGGGGAAAGGAAGAUAUGCCCUUUGUCAACAUUGCCACUGCUGGUCUGUAAACUCCUAGACGGCCAGCUGGUGGUUCACAAACCAGGACUCCUUGCUCUGGCCCUACCCCUACCUACCAGAAUGACCGUGAACCCUUCCCCACUCACUCCUACAACCAGGUUUCCAUCUCCUCUCUCAGCUUAGGUUUCCCUAACUGUAAAAUAAAAGGGUUGGACUAGGUUAAGGACUUCCUGCUAUUUCUCUCUCCCACACUCUAAGGUUCCUUAGGAAUGCUUCAGAAAACAGCAGGGGUUGGGGCAAGGAUGCCGCUUGAGUCCCAGAGCAACUCCAAUUUCAUAGGCACAUAAAUUUAUGUGAAAGUA
Molecule: long non-coding RNA, 1016 nt
Filed under: Homo sapiens (human)
Lineage: Eukaryota; Metazoa; Chordata; Mammalia; Primates; Hominidae
Description: non-protein coding LINC01635:9
Source: RNAcentral